GUCACAGAGUGAUGUGAGGUGCAAAAAUGAAACCAUGUGAUUCAACCAAUCUUUCAUUAUUCAAGAAUAUUGUCACAACCAAAAGAAGCUAAUCUCUUAAAUAUUUCAUAUUUUCAUAUUAGAUAAACAAUAUGAGGAUUUACAUGGUGACAUAGAUGAAAAACCCGCAAUCAGAUCCUUAGAACCUUAUUUUAUUCUUGUUACAAUAAUUAUGUGCUCUUUCACUCUUAUUAACAAGAAAACAGUAGGAAAUAUCAAGCCUAUUCUGCCAAUCCUAUUACUAUAUGAUCAUACAUAAUUUUCUAGACUGGAUAAAUAAUACAGAAGAAGAAAAUUUGGCCUAAAUUUUAUUGACAUUAUUGGAUAAUUUUGAUAGAUGAUGUUCAGUCAAGGAGAUGUUUUCUGUGGAGUAGAAGAAGAAGCUGGGGGGAUUCCUGGGAUACGAGGAGGUGAAGGAGGGAAAGGGAACGGAGGGAAAGGAAGAAAUGGGAUGAUAGGUGGUGGUGGUGAUGGUGGAGUGAGGCCAGGAAUUGGUGGUAAAGGAAUCAAUGGCGCUGGAGGAGGCUGGAGUGGAUUAGGGGGAAGCAAUGGAGGGAUUAGUGGUGGUGGUUGAAGUGGGUUUGGAAGUAACGGAGGUGGCUGAAAAGGGUUUGGAGGAAAAAGGGGCGGUGUUGGAAAGAAAAAGUUAGGGCUUACUUCUUUCUGAUCUGACGCUUGUGCGCUCUUCAAAGACUCAGUAUAAGCUUUUGUGUUUGUGCUGGUCUUUCCAGGCACUGGUGGAAGGUAAGGUAAUCCUGGAAUAGGUGGGAAAGGAGGGAGUUUUGGCAAUGGUGGCAGGUUUGGAAGUAGAGGAACCGAAGGAUUUUGGUUCACAGGGGGGAGAUCAGGGACUGUUGGGUCUUGAAGUGGAGGUGGAAAUGCUGGGCUAUCAGAAGGAGGGAUAGAAGGUAUUGAGGAUUUUUGGGCAUUAAGUUCCCUGGAAUUUUGGAUGCUUGGUUUUUGGUUGCAGAGGUUUGGUUGCUUCUGGGGCUUGAAACUGAAAAAUCCAGCUGAGAAGAUGUGUAGUCCUUCCUUUCUUGACUUGAGACGUAGAGAUGAUGAAGUUGCUGUUGAUGCUACUGCACAAUAUGGUUCACUGCUACUCAACAAUUUCACUGAGCAUCUCUUGAUUCUCUUUACAUGCUUACUAACUGAGAAAGGCAAGUGAACUUUGAACUCUCCAUGCUCAUCUGUUUUCACUUCUUUGCGAAAGUUUGAUUUUGAAUUCUCAUCUGUGCAUUCCACUGCAACAGAUGCUCCUGAAAUGAAGUGGCUGUUCUUUGAGAAAUCCUCUCGGAAACAUGUGUCACAGUAUACUGUACCAACAACGACUGCGGAGGGAAGCUUCCUGUCAUGGCUAGCCUCUGAGAGAUUAUUAAUAAAUGUGAAACAGAGAAGGAAUAUGAUGAAAAAAGAAGGCAUUGUAUGAGUCUUCUCUCUCUCUAUUUCUCUUGAUUUAGAGCAGAAUUAGGAGUUAAUGGGUUGGAAUCUAUAUCAGUUUGCACUUGUUCUCUGCUAAAAUACAAUGCCCUUAGUAUAGUUUCAUCUAGUUGUUUGAGGCAUAAACGAAAGUCUGAUAGAGUUUUUAUAUAGGCAGAGGCAUGGAGGGCUCUUUAUGUCAGUCAUGCAAAACCAGUGAACUGCAAACUAGCAGCAGUGAAUGAGGGUUUACUUUUCCUACCAGCGAACAGCUCAAAAGGAAGGUAAAAUUUGGGAUGUGGAAGGAGAGGCUCUAGUUAGCAUCAUUCAUUGAGUUUGUUCUUUAGUUGGUGUAAAAUUACGAACGGGGGGAU
This 1832-nucleotide unclassified non-coding RNA is filed under the name Hevea brasiliensis (rubber tree). Lineage: Eukaryota; Viridiplantae; Streptophyta; Magnoliopsida; Malpighiales; Euphorbiaceae. The record is from RNAcentral.